This 23-nucleotide non-coding RNA is filed under the name Arabidopsis thaliana (thale cress). The record is from RNAcentral. Lineage: Eukaryota; Viridiplantae; Streptophyta; Magnoliopsida; Brassicales; Brassicaceae.
UAUUCAAACUCACCACAAAGGUA